CUACGGGGGGCAGCAGUGGGGAAUAUUGGACAAUGGGGGCAACCCUGAUCCAGCAAUGCCGCGUGUGUGAAGAAGGCCUUAGGGUUGUAAAGCACUUUCACCCGUGAAGAUGAUGACGGUAGCGGGAGAAGAAGCCCCGGCUAACUCCGUGCCAGCAGCCGCGGUAAUACGGAGGGGGCUAGCGUUGUUCGGAUUUACUGGGCGUAAAGCGCACGUAGGCGGCACGAUCAGUCAGGGGUGAAAGGCCUGGGCUCAACCCGGGAACUGCCCUUGAUACUGUUGUGCUAGAGUCCGAGAGAGGGUGGCGGAACUCCCAGUGUAGAGGUGAAAUUCGUAGAUAUUGGGAAGAACACCGGUGGCGAAGGCGGCCACCUGGCUCGGCACUGACGCUGAGGUGCGAAAGCGUGGGGAGCAAACAGGAUUAGAUACCCCGGUAGUC
RNAcentral lists this ribosomal RNA (439 nucleotides) under uncultured bacterium. RNAcentral describes it as "partial 16S ribosomal RNA". It matches the Rfam family "Bacterial small subunit ribosomal RNA", at positions 339 to 795 of the family's 1533-position model. The record is from RNAcentral.